This 282-nucleotide ribosomal RNA is filed under the name uncultured prokaryote. RNAcentral describes it as "partial 16S ribosomal RNA". It matches the Rfam family "Bacterial small subunit ribosomal RNA", at positions 524 to 803 of the family's 1533-position model. The record is from RNAcentral.
AACGUAGGAGGCGAGCGUUAUCCGGAUUUACUGGGCGUAAAGGGCGUGCAGGCGGUUGUGCAAGUUGGGCGUGAAAUCUCCCGGCUCAACUGGGAGGGGUCGUUCAAAACUGCAUAGCUUGAGGGCAGGAGAGGGAAGUGGAAUUCCCGGUGUAGCGGUAAUAUGCGCAGAUAUCGGGAGGAACACCAGUGGCGAAGGCGGCUUCCUGGCCUGUUCCUGACGCUGAGACGCGAAAGCCAGGGUAGCGAACGGGAUUAGAUACCCCCGUAGUCCCUGAGCGGG